Molecule: ribosomal RNA, 406 nt
Filed under: uncultured bacterium
Lineage: Bacteria
Description: partial 16S ribosomal RNA
Rfam family: Bacterial small subunit ribosomal RNA
Source: RNAcentral
AUUGAACGCUGGCGGCAGGCCUAACACAUGCAAGUCGAACGCGUGGCGGACGGGAGAGUAAUAUCUGGGAAACUGCCUGAUGGAGGGGGAUCACUACUGGAAACGGUAGCUAACACCGCAUAACAUCAGAUGUGCCUAGAUGGGAUUAGCUUGUUGGUGGGGUAACGGCUCACCAAGGCGACGAUCCCUAGCUGGUCUGAGAGGAUGAUCAGCCACACUGGGACUGAGACACGGUCCAGACUCCUACGGGAGGCAGCAGUGGGGAAUAUUGCACAAUGGGCGCAAGCCUGAUGCAGCCAUGCCGCGUGUAUGAAGAAGGCCUUAGGGUUGUAAAGUACUUUCAGUGGGGAGGCGUUACCCGCAGAAGAAGCACCGGCUAACUCCGUGCCAGCCGCCGCGGUAAUAC